Molecule: long non-coding RNA, 569 nt
Organism: Scatophagus argus
Lineage: Eukaryota; Metazoa; Chordata; Actinopteri; Scatophagidae
Exons: 2
Source: RefSeq, a predicted model, not a curated record
AAAACGGAGAACAGUGUCCACGAUGAGUUGAAAACGCACAACAUGCAGAUAUAUGUCUGCCAUGAGCCAGAUGCAGUGGGAAUCGUCAUUGAGGGAAUCCCAGUUCUUACUGAUCUUGGCGAUCUGGCCAGGGCAUGUUGCCUGCUUCUGGGGAUGAAAUAUACUCUGAACCUGCACUAUCCACCCCAGCUCUGCAAAACAUUUGAGUUAAAUUGAGAACAACAUGGCAGUCAAGCACAGACUUCGUCAGUUCCUCCAGCUGCUGUGCAUUUGAUGAGCUGAAUGUCAAAUGUUUUGGGAGAAUACAGCACAGAUUGUAAUUUAAAGGUGUUCUUGUAUGCGUUUGUUAAAAUGUUUUAGUACAUACAAAAAGGUACUGUGCACUUUCAAGUUUAAGUCAGUUCUCUUCUGCUAUCUAAAAUGCUCAGGUCAAGAAUCACUGUAUUUUAAUGUCAGUGUUAAGAGUAAGCAGAUUGAAGGUGUUCUAUGCUGCACUUUAAGAUGAGGUCAGAAGUUUCUGUAAUUUUUUAAUGUUAAAAUGUUUACAACAUUAAAAUUGAUUACAGAAA